Molecule: ribosomal RNA, 161 nt
Filed under: Tolypocladium capitatum
Lineage: Eukaryota; Fungi; Ascomycota; Sordariomycetes; Hypocreales; Ophiocordycipitaceae
Description: partial large subunit ribosomal RNA
Rfam family: Eukaryotic large subunit ribosomal RNA
Source: RNAcentral
CGGCAACAGCUCAAAUUUGAAAUCUGGCCCCCCGGGGCCCGAGUUGUAAUUUGCAGAGGAUGCUUCUGGCGCGGCGCCUUCCGAGUUCCCUGGAACGGGACGCCACAGAGGGUGAGAGCCCCGUCUGGUCGGACGCCAAGCCUGUGUGAAGCUCCUUCGAC